Non-coding RNA from Heterocephalus glaber (naked mole-rat), 2668 nucleotides. The record is from RefSeq and is a predicted model, not a curated record. Lineage: Eukaryota; Metazoa; Chordata; Mammalia; Rodentia; Bathyergidae.
UAGAGCUUACUGGGAUGGAAGGGUACCUGCCUUAUUGAGUGGGCACCAAGCAAGUGAAUAGCGAUGCCAGGUAAUUCCAGCAGAGAAUAAGAUAUGCUUGGCUUUCAUGUGUACCUUCAUAUAGGACUUGGCUCUUUGAACUCAGAAAAAGAGGAGGAAACACCAGGGAUGAAUGGACAAGGAUCCACCACCAUGGGAAGACACAGCAAGAAGGCAGUUGCCUCAAGCCAUGGAACAAGGCCUUAGGAGGAAUCAUACCUGCGCCCCCCUUGAUGCUGAACUUCUGGCUAAGGCACCCAGUCUGUGAUGUUUUGUUUUGACAGCUCAAGUGGACACAUACAGAAAGAUCUGGACAAGCACCUUCUUCAACCCGCGGGUCAAGGAGGUGGAAAGAGAAGACAGGUGCAUGCAAACCAGGAACGAGGCUCUCACCAGAGCUCCACCAUACUGGCACCUUGAUCUUCAAGUCCUCAGCCUCCAGAACUUUCUCUUCUCCUCUCAGUGCCAAGAUGAGAGAUGUCAAGGUGCCUGUUCUCACUGCAGCCGAUCCCCCUGUUGCUCAACAGCCAGCUUGUGGUAUUUCACCACAGCAGCCCGGAAAGACUGACACUCAACUUGGUCGAUUGUCACCUAAUGUCCUCUCAUCCCUCCUGAACAAUCACUGGUGUGCUCUAUGACUGCACGUUUCUUUAGUCCCUGGAUCCAUUGCCAUUGGUCUCCUGCAUCCUGCAUGCCCAUCUCUAGGGAGCUCCUGAUUUCCCUCUGCUAGGUCCUAGGCUCAUUUUUACAAAUUGCUGCUACAUUAUCCUACACUUCAAUAAUAGCUAGUGGUGACACUAAUGUUACUAAUAGCAAAUGCACAGUGCUUACAAUAUGCUUGGCCGUAUACUUAAUGCCUUCUAGGCACUGUCUCAGUUCUCCUGAGUACUGCCUUACAUGAUUCUGCUUUACAGAACCUUCUGUGUAAUGGGAGCGACCCUCUACCAAGAAACAACUGCAUGACAAACAUUUUGUUAGUAUUUACAUAUAUGUAAUCUACACAAACAUAUGGAGUGGAGUUUUUUAUCCCCAUGUUAUAGAGAAAAUAGAAACAAAGAAGUUAAAGGACUAAAUUAUCACAAUUAAACCUGGCAUGUAAUCCUCGAGAUUGGAAAGGCCGAGGCAGGAGGAUUACCAGCUUGAGUCCAGCCUGGACAACUUAGUGAUUUAGGGAGAACUUGUGUCAAUAUAAAAAAUAAAAGAAAGGCUGAGGAUGUAUUUCAAAUUGAAGGCCCUGGGUUCAAUUUCCAGUGCACCCCCUUCACCCUCCCAAAAUAUCACACUGAUAGUAAUUUAUAGUUAAAUUUCAGAAUCUGUUCCAAUACCAGAGCAAAAUAGGUUUAUAUAUUCCUAAAUUCACUGCAUCAUGUCCCAGCAGAACCUAUAGCUCUGGUGGAUGGGUUUGGUCCAGACCUUGACUCUACCUUACUUAAUUGUUUCCUGAUACACUAUUCAUGUACUGAGUGCACCCUAUAGCACUUUCAUUUGCUUAUAGGUUGCAAGUACGUAUUCUUCAGUUUCUUUGUUCACCCAUUCAUUCAUUUAUUAAUUAAUUUACUUAUUGGGUUCUUCCUCUGUGUCCAGCAUUAUGCUAAAAAAACCCCUAGGAAAUUGAUGCUGGAAAAAGCAUAGCAUAGAGAAUGACAUGUAAACAAAUAUGACAGCUGUGAGAAGAGGUGAAAGAUCUCACAUCUGCUAGUCAAGGCCAGCAGAUAGGAAUAUUUGCACUGAGAUAAAAAGAUUGAUGCUGGAGAAGGGUGUAUUUCAAUCAGGGGCAAGAGAAUUCAAUAGGAUUACAAGGCAUGUUCAGGGAGCUGCAACAGGUUCAGCAAGUCCUGGAGACAGGGCAGGAAAGGAAAAAUAGGACACAGGGAUUGGGAAUAAGAUCACAGGAGACCUGUAUAGCCUGAUGAAGGACAUAGGUUUUAUUCUGUGGCAUAGAACGACUCCAAAUGAAGCCUGUCAUUUCUCAAUCAUGUAGAAUUUAUGUUAGUAGAUAGUAUAAAGUAUAUCUUCUACUUUUGGGAAGGGAGUAUUACUUGUGAUGGUGAAUUAUUAUUACUUAUACAGGGGGUUGGGGGUAUAGUUCACCAGUAGAACACUUGCCUAACAUGGACCAGGCCCUUAAUUAUAUCUCCAGGACUAAAAAGCUGCACAAAAUUGUGUGUGUGUGAUGUUGGUGUAUAUAAGUAUUUAUAUGGCUUAUAUAAUGGAAUGCCAGUACUUCUGGUUAGUUGGGAUUUAUUAAUUUCCUAAUAUGCAUUGGUUUAACAAAGGCCCAGAAAGCUAACCCUAAAGAACAUUCUAUCAUGUCUCAAAUGUUCUUUAAUUUCUCCCCUCUUUCCAGUCAGCCUCAAACACUGAAUGCUGUUAAGUUGAGCUGCACACUGGAAAGGCUUCCUGAUUCUGAAUGAUAUGCAGUUAUCAGGGACCAGUGAACACGCACCCACCUCUGCUUAGCCAGUUUACCUCCUGUGGCAAAUUUGAUCUUCACACCAUAAAUCCAAUCUGCUGACUUGCUCCUUUACAUUACAUCUGAUUCUAGUUUUGGAGCUCCUCAAAAAGUGAAAUUACUAAAAGAGUACCAAGGGGAGUUUCAGGAACGAGUGCCUUAUUUUGUAUUUCCUAA